AGGCACUCUGAGAAGAGCCAUUCUGAUGUGAUCUCACAGGAGAAUUAACAGAAUGGAUUGCCCUACUGGAGGUCAAGCAGCUAUCUGGAUCGUGGUGGUGGUGGUGGUGAACCCAGGCUCCUAGUGUUGCAGCAGAAGCAGGAGGCAUUCAAGGGCCAGGAUUUCAACGGAUGUUACGAGCUGUGACAGUGAGUGAGCCAGCUGAAAUGCUAAAUAAACUUUACAGCAUUUGUAGAAAAAGAUACUGAAAUGAUAGCCCAUAAGUCUUCUCAGGAAGAAGUUGAGUGUGAGAGUUUUCUGCUGGGAGCAGUAAACAUGACUACUACCAGAACACACCUCCUGACAGUACUAAGAGUUCUGCAGCAACCUGGUGGCCUGAAACAUGUUGGAAACCUUUGUUCUUCAGCAAGUGCAAUGGCAGCUGUGGUAAAAAAUACUGUGGUAAAACAUCUGUGCUGGCAAGCUUCAAGGUUGGUUUGUCUGAGCUCUGGGAUAUCCUGUCUACAGCCUGGCUCACAGGAUGAAACUCCUGACAUCUAACUUGAUGUGUGAGCCUACUGCCACAUCAGACACCCUGCAUUAUCCUCCAGGAUACCAAAUCAGGACAUCUUCUAGGCCAUGUGUCCCUUUUGUGAGCUCUGCAAUAAUGACUCAGAGACAUAAUGGUGUCUCAGGUGGAACUAGGUGCCUAUGUCUCACCUGUGCUGUCUUUACUUCCAUGGUGGCAGAUACCACCUUGAACCCAGCUGGAGAAAGCAGAAACCUUACUUUUGGACACUAGAUCUGUUUCAGGUAUGCUUUUUCUGAGAAAUACUGGAAAUAUUUUUAACAGUAUAUAUAGCAAACAUUCUGAAAGAGGGUGGUAGAAUACUGACGGAGAGAAGCUGUUGUUAAUCCAUAGCAACACAGAUGAUUAAGCAUUAAAAAUUUGGUGUGUGUGAUGCUUUUUGAAAUUUUUGUGAUUCCAUUCAGAUAAUUUCAAAUCUGAUUUCAAAUCUGAUCCAGGUCUGAGCCUUGUGCCAGCUUUCUUCAAAUACAAUUUUUAAAUAAUUCAAAACCUAUUUUAACUCAUAAAUAAAUAAAUAAUUCAGCAACAAAUUAUAAGAAAAUUCAGUUGCACCUAAAUAACGUCUGGUAUUUCUGAGCCUGGAUUUUUCAUGCAGAAGAGAGAUUGUUUUUCUUCUUUUCAGUACAAAGCUCGUCACAUCCAUACGUAUGGUAGCUCCAUAACUUAUUUCCUUUACACCAGUAAUUGUAGACUGGCAGUUGGAUCCUUAGACAAACUCUGAGGCCAAAAAGAAGAUUUUUUAAUUCUUGAAAAUAUAGAAAUGAGGUUAACAUAACUCUGCCAGUAGCAAACUUCUGUGUAUAAAUUUUGGGCAGGUAGGUAAAAAUAUAUUUCUGACUUGACAGGUUGUUUCACUGUCUAAAGUAGUAAUUUGGGAAAUGGAAAAAUAUAUUAAUAGGAGUAAAUUUUUCCAUGUUAUAUGCCAAAAGCCUAUUUAAAAAUGGAGCUGAAUCUUUUUAUCUUUACUCUUUUUGGUUUUGUUCCUAUUCUUUUCUCUUUAAUUUCCUCUCUUUCUUCUGAGAAUUGCAGAAUUAUCACAUAUUGUCGUCUGCAUGUUUGUUCAGACUUGUCUGACUGUGAGUAAAACACUGGUCUGAAACUUAAUUGAAGGCUAUAAGGUUUAUAUUGGGCUGGGUGCUGAGCAGCUGCAUGUUAUGCCUGUGUCCCCGAAUCAGAAAAAUAGGGGCAGUGCUUUUUUUUUUUAAAAAAAAAAAAAAAUAAGAACUCAGUGGCAAAGGGGAAAGUUAGCUUUUUCUCAUUUUCUCCCAUUUUCAUAAAAACCUAUGUUCUAGGUGGGAGGACUUUUUCCACCUUGGUUUCUCUCUAUGAAUUGGUUAGAAAAAUUCCUAAGCCACUAAGGAGCUAAUGAACAGUGCACAACUUAUAGAAAGUUAGGAAAACAGCGUGUUAAAGGAACUUCCAGAAUUAUAGUAAUUCAUGGACUCAAACACAUGCAUGUGAAGAACUAGAAAUACAAUAUUGAUCACCAUGCAAAUAUGCUAUGUUUCUCAUCCUUCAGUACCAUAAAAGGGCCAUAAUUAUGAUUUAAUUCUUGCCAUAAUCUGAAUUCUCUGCUUGCAUUUUUAUUGUUAUAUUUUAUUAAAUGUAAAUACAUCAUCC
Long non-coding RNA from Apus apus (common swift), 2188 nucleotides. RefSeq lists it as uncharacterized. The transcript has 5 exons. The record is from RefSeq and is a predicted model, not a curated record. Lineage: Eukaryota; Metazoa; Chordata; Aves; Apodiformes; Apodidae.